RNAcentral lists this long non-coding RNA (1256 nucleotides) under Oryctolagus cuniculus (rabbit). RNAcentral describes it as "lncRNA (ENSOCUG00000036379.1)". The record is from RNAcentral. Lineage: Eukaryota; Metazoa; Chordata; Mammalia; Lagomorpha; Leporidae.
CGGGCGGGAGGAGGGGAGUGCGCGCGAGGGAGGGGAGGGCACAAGUGAACGCAGGAGGAAGGCUGGCAUCCGCUUCUGGCACUCCAGAAAAAAAAAAAAACAUGGAAUUUUGAGAUGGGGUGGUGGGAGUAGGGGGACUUGGUGGGGGGCUGUCAGGCGGCGGUUGCUUAGCGAAGCCCAGAAGAGUGGGUCAUCGGGCUGCAGCCCAGGCCUCGCUAGCCCGGGAAAACAAUGCAGAGUUGCCAAGGGACACUGGACUGGCGCGACCCCUCGCCUUUUCCAUAGCCCCAACGCCCUGGACCCUAUUCUGUUGUAAACCAGACUCGGUCCAGCAGUCCCCGCCCCAAAACAAUCAGAAAACUCAGGUUGAUGCAGAGUCCAGACACACCUCCACCUCGUGUCUCUGGUAGAAGUAAAUUGAAGACAUUGGAUGGCCUGCAUAAGCCUCCGGGAGCAGAGGUGGCCUGCAGUCCGAGAGCCGGUGCCGGCUUCUGUGUCCUGUGGUCAAUUUCCUCUCCAGCAGAGCUUGGCACCUUAGGACCCUGUUCUGCCCUGCCGUCGUAAAAUUUUUUUUUUUAAGUCGGCGGCGGCGAUCUCCUCUGCAUCUCCAACUCCCGGCGGUUGGGAACUUGGCCAGAGUGUGACGGACACACACCCUGGCUGGACUCCCAAGUCCGAGGCGUCCACGGCAGCUCCUGCUCUGUGGCGCCACCUGGUGGGCGGCGUGCGAGGUUGCGGCGGGCUCGGUAGACGGUCUAAUCACGCCCAGGCGCCAGCUUCUGAAACCCCCCAAAAGAACAAAAUAGUAAUUAAAAGCCACAAAAUUGUGCUGCUGCGCGCCAUCUGAAGCACCCUUUCCUAAAGACAUAACAUGUCGCCGAAGGAACUUGUUACAACAACUGCCUAAUGGAAAACAAGUUGAUACUUUGAAAAAUAUAAUCUUCCGUCUUCUUCCCCAGAAAAAGCAAGCGUGUAAUUAAAACCCCAGCCUUCACACAGCGGAAUAAUGAGGCAGGUAGUGCGCCUUCAAGUCGGCCUGGCGGUAGUUCCAGCCUUCCGUUGGGUUCAGGAGGGUCCCGAGAUGGGGAAGAGCGAGUUUAUUGGAAAGCACUCUGCGUGGCGGGCUGCAGCUACAAGGUGAACCGCUUGUCCGUUGGGGUCUUGACUUCAAAUUCCAACUCUUUCUUUCUGCCAGUAAAGCAGUAGCUGUUUUCACCUAAUAUAGAAAAUAAAAAUAAAAAUAAAAAACCCGUCCA